This 546-nucleotide ribosomal RNA is filed under the name uncultured kinetoplastid. Its description in RNAcentral is "bacterial SSU rRNA". It matches the Rfam family "Eukaryotic small subunit ribosomal RNA", at positions 615 to 1026 of the family's 1831-position model. Lineage: Eukaryota; Euglenozoa; Kinetoplastea. The record is from RNAcentral.
GCUGUUAAGGGUUCGUAGUUGAAUUGUGGUUGGCGAAGCCGGGGUCACGUCCUGUUCCCCGGUACAGGAAAGCCUCGAUUGCCAUCCGAGAACGUCAGAAACUAAGAUCACGGGAGCGUUUUCCCGCCAUCCUCGCGAGCAAUGCACGCAGGCGGGCGUCCGUGUUCAUUACUGUGACUAAGAAGUGCGACCAAAGCAGUCCAUCGACAUGAAUUAGAAAGCAUGGGAUAACAAAGGGCAGCCUACGGAUUACCGUUUUGGCUUUUGUUGGUUUUAAAGGUCUGUGGGAGAUUACGGGUGGUAGGACCGGCGUUUUGGAGUUCAAUGCUCCUGCGCUUCCCCUCAUGGUUCGCUCCGGCGGCUGUGUUGGGGCCUUUUUCUACUCAGGAAUGAAGGAGGGUUGCUCGGGGGAGACGUACUUGAGCGUGAGAGGUGAAAUUCUUAGACCGCUCAAAGACGAACUACAGCGAAGGCUUCUCCAAGGAUACCUUCCUCAAUCAAGAACCAAAGUGUGGAGAUCGAAGAUGAUUAGUACCAUUGUAGUCC